Molecule: ribosomal RNA, 429 nt
Filed under: Pseudomonadota bacterium
Lineage: Bacteria; Pseudomonadati; Pseudomonadota
Description: Proteobacteria bacterium partial 16S ribosomal RNA
Rfam family: Bacterial small subunit ribosomal RNA
Source: RNAcentral
UGGGGAAUAUUGGACAAUGGGCGAAAGCCUGAUCCAGCCAUGCCGCGUGUGUGAAGAAGGUCUUCGGAUUGUAAAGCACUUUAAGUUGGGAGGAAGGGCAGUAAGCGAAUACCUUGCUGUUUUGACGUUACCGACAGAAUAAGCACCGGCUAACUCUGUGCCAGCAGCCGCGGUAAUACAGAGGGUGCAAGCGUUAAUCGGAAUUACUGGGCGUAAAGCGCGCGUAGGUGGUUCGUUAAGUUGAAUGUGAAAGCCCCGGGCUCAACCUGGGAACUGCAUCCAAAACUGGCGAGGUAGUGUAGGGCAGAGGGUGGUGGAAUUUCCUGUGUAGCGGUGAAAUGAGUAGAUAUAGGAAGGAACACCAGUGGCGAAGGCGACCACCUGGGCUCAUACUGACACUGAGGUGAGAAAGCGUGGGGAGCAAACAGG